GAAGAACAAGUCCGUUCCUUCAAAGAUUCCAUCAAAGUCACCGUGGAAGGUGAAGAAAAUAAAUGAGGAUUUGAAUGGGAUGCUCAGGACCUUGGCUUGGUGAAGCAGAUCACUUUUGAUGGGUCCAUCAUGCCUAUGCCUAUUUGCAUACUAGUAAACACAAACUCCUUCCAAUUUUAAGAAUGUAAUUUACAUAUUCU
This 200-nucleotide long non-coding RNA is filed under the name Panax ginseng (ginseng). RNAcentral describes it as "long non-coding RNA (PGIN_LNC017581)". Lineage: Eukaryota; Viridiplantae; Streptophyta; Magnoliopsida; Apiales; Araliaceae. The record is from RNAcentral.